Long non-coding RNA from Dinoponera quadriceps, 2150 nucleotides. RefSeq lists it as uncharacterized. The transcript has 3 exons. Lineage: Eukaryota; Metazoa; Arthropoda; Insecta; Hymenoptera; Formicidae. The record is from RefSeq and is a predicted model, not a curated record.
ACAAAUUUUUCUCCAGUGCUGCUUUUUUCAAUAUCUUUCCUUAAUUCUCUUCCUUACCUAUCAAGGUUGGCAGCGCCGCGAAUUUUAUUUAGUAUCGCCUAUCGACGCUGCCGAAAUUGCGGUGUAAUUUACAUUCCAUACGCCAACUCAUGUUACAUAUUUCUAUUCUCGUGAAGAUAGUGAAUUUACAGUAAAAAAUGAUUCAAAUUUUCGCGCGUUCGCUGGAGGGUUAACAGAGUGCCGUACCGGACCGUCGAAAACGUCGACGUGAUAGAAAUCGUCCUCGUAUCCGAUGGACGAGUUGUAACAACGGUUGAAAAUCCUGGGGAACCGGGGCUCGGAGAGGCAACGAACGAACGAGAUGCGGAGGACGACGAUAAAGGGAUAUCCGUUGAAGGAAACGCGAGACGCGAGGGAAAAUCACUUCGGGCAGUGCGAGCGCAAGUGGGAGAAUGGAGAAGAGAUACGCUAAGAAUCGCGCCACCGGUGCGUCGAUAACGACCCGAACAUCGGGAAACAGGGGACGGGAUAAGCGAUCCGGGAAAUUCGCGAGUCUCCGCCGUGUGGGAAGAACGAGCGAGGCUCCGACGGCGGAGAUCCACGGAUCGAGGAAGACGCGACGGGGGAAUCCGAUCCCGUCGACGAGCAACGAGUUCGCGGUGCGGAAGAGGAUUCCGAGGUCGUCGAAGCAGAGGACAAUUCGGCUCGCGAGACACCCGUCCGCGGAUCGCAGCGAGACGGGAUGCGAACGAGUCGUUAUAUCGCCAGAGGAGAAACAAUUGGCGGACAGUAAGAUCCCGAGGAGAGCAUCCAAGGGAGCGAUGAAGUCGACGAGCAACUUCGAGCCGACGACGAGCGGAAAAAGUUCGACCUUUUUCCAUCGGAAGCAGCAGGAAGCGACGCUGAGGCGGCGUCAGAACGUACAAGCCGCCGAGGCAAUGAGGAGAGAAAAGGGCAGACAAACACUGCAAAAAUAGUGACGCCCCAAAAGGAGGAGGAGCAGUACCUCCGAGGAAGAGCCGGUCAAAGAAGUCAUCGAGCAGAUAAGGUCGGGUCAAAGGGAGGCACGGAAAAAAAAUUAUCCCACGAACCAGAGCGUGAUAGUCUAUCGUACAUCCACGUCUUAAACGAUGAGAAGCAGCACGAUUGUUCCGGUGGUUUGAAACGGUUUCCGAACGACUCCGAAACUCACACCGACGAAGAUAGGCGGUAGAGUGGAGUGGCGACCGGUCCAGCACCAAAAGUCGAGUCAAGGAGGGGAGAGAGCAGGUGCGAUACCCAACCUCACCUCACCCGAAUUACUAGAUGUGGACACGUCCGGGUCACUAGCGAACGUAACCGGAAGAAGAGAACGUCACGUGGCCAUCCUGACGGCUCAGGAACAAACCGAAGUCGUCCUGACCGAAAUCUGAAGGGGGAACCGGCCACGGCGAGGAAACAACCGAAUUGCAUUAGCCAGACCACGACUCGAAGAACAAUCAGAACUGUUUAUUUUUCUCGUUAUCAAAAGUUUUAAAUUAUUUUUGCUAAAAGUGUGGAUGUUAUUUCUAGAAUAUAUUCAUAAUAUUCGAUAAAUAAAUAGAACAUCGCGGACGAACUACCAAAGUAUACCCAGCGAACACCAGGUUGCGGUUACAUAACUGUUAGUUGUAAUUCCCUACUGAACAAUGUAACGAUUGUAUAACGCGUGUGUUAUAAAUUGGUGUUUGCUAGGUAUUCUGGGAAUGUAUGAAAAACGACAUACUAUAUAAUAUACAAAAAAUAUUAAGCUAUGCCUACAAUAAGUGUAGUAAGCCUUAGCUGUAAGAAAUCGAUCAGUCACAAUAGAUCGUUCUCACAUUCGACUGUGAUUGGUCCGUUUCUUAUGGAUUAAAGUUUACUACGCCUAUUGUAGACACCGCUUUACAGAAUUACAACCUCUAGUAUUGAUUACUGCCCAGUAAACAUCAAUUAACAGUAACAUAAAGCUAAUGUUAUAAUUUCUCACUUAAUAACAUAAAUGUAACUUAACGUGUGUGUGUUAUAUUACAUUUACAUUACUGUUACAUAACAUUACAUGAUAUGUAAUAGUUACAUUAUUGAGUAAAUAAUUGUGACAUUGAUAUUACGUUACUGUUGAUGUUUACUGCGUAGCUGCUAUAAAAAUAAAU